UGCAAGUCGAACGCGAAAGUACCUUCGGGUAUGAGUAGAGUGGCGGACGGGUGAGUAACGCGUGGAAAUCUGCCUGGUAGUGGGGGAUAACAGUCGGAAACGACUGCUAAUACCGCAUACGUCCUACGGGAGAAAGCGGGGGAUCUUCGGACCUCGUGCUAUCAGAUGAGUCCGCGUCGGAUUAGCUAGUUGGUGAGGUAAGGGCUCACCAAGGCGACGAUCCGUAGCUGGUCUGAGAGGAUGAUCAGCCACACUGGGACUGAGACACGGCCCAGACUCCUACGGGAGGCAGCAGUGGGGAAUAUUGCGCAAUGGGCGAAAGCCUGAUCCAGCAAUGCCGCGUGUGUGAAGAAGGCCUGCGGGUUGUAAAGCACUUUCAGUUGGGAAGAUGAUGACGUUACCAACAGAAGAAGCACCGGCUAAAUCCGUGCCAGCAGCCGCGGUAAUACGGAUGGUGCGAGCGUUAAUCGGAAUUACUGGGCGUAAAGCGCGCGUAGGCGGCUAAGUCAGUCAGAAGUGAAAGCCCCGGGCUCAACCUGGGAAUUGCUUUUGAUACUGCUUAGCUAGAGUUUGGUAGAGGAUAGUGGAAUUCCAGGUGUAGCGGUGAAAUGCGUAGAUAUCUGGAGGAACAUCAGUGGCGAAGGCGACUGUCUGGACCAAAACUGACGCUGAGGUGCGAAAGCGUGGGUAGCAAACAGGAUUAGAUACCCUGGUAGUCCACGCCGUAAACGAUGUCAACUAGCCGUCGGGUCUAUUUACAGACUUGGUGGCGCAGCUAACGCGAUAAGUUGACCGCCUGGGGAGUACGGCCGCAAGGUUAAAACUCA
RNAcentral lists this ribosomal RNA (827 nucleotides) under uncultured Gammaproteobacteria bacterium. RNAcentral's name for it is "bacterial SSU rRNA". It matches the Rfam family "Bacterial small subunit ribosomal RNA", at positions 56 to 903 of the family's 1533-position model. Lineage: Bacteria; Pseudomonadati; Pseudomonadota; Gammaproteobacteria. The record is from RNAcentral.